RNAcentral lists this ribosomal RNA (346 nucleotides) under Hastula hectica. RNAcentral describes it as "partial 12S ribosomal RNA". The record is from RNAcentral. Lineage: Eukaryota; Metazoa; Mollusca; Gastropoda; Neogastropoda; Terebridae.
CUNCCAGAGUACUAUGAAUGAUUAAUUUAAAACUCAAAGGACUUGGCGGUGUCUUAGACCACUUAGGGGAACCUGUCUCGUAAUCGACAGUCCACGUUAUACCUGACCUCUUUUUGUUGUCAGUUUGUAUACCGUUGUCGUCAGGUAACUUUUUAGAAUAAAGAAGUUAGCAAUAUAAAUAAAUUAUUUAGUACGUCAAAUCAAGGUGCAGCUAAUAAAGAGGGGAGGAUGGGUUACAAUUAUUUAAUUUAUAAUUACGGAAGUAUACAUAGAAAUAUGUUGUGGAAGGAGGACUUAAAAGUAAAUUGAAUUAUAUAGAUAAUUUGAAUAAGGCUCUGAGACGUGU